UCCCUGAUGGCUCAGCAGUAAAGAAUCUGCCUGCAAUGCAGGAGACCUGGGUUCAAUCCCUGGGUCGGGAA
Molecule: transfer RNA, 71 nt
Filed under: Ovis aries (sheep)
Lineage: Eukaryota; Metazoa; Chordata; Mammalia; Artiodactyla; Bovidae
Rfam family: tRNA
About the family: Transfer RNA (tRNA) molecules are approximately 80 nucleotides in length. Their secondary structure includes four short double-helical elements and three loops (D, anti-codon, and T loops).
Source: Rfam by way of RNAcentral